AUCUUGAAUACUUAAUGAUGACCUAAAAUUUAACUGUCAAUCCUAGAUAAGUCAUCCACAUCAUAUUUCAAUCUUUCAAAUCUAUCAUAUAGAUUAUCUGGGUCUAGAUUUUACUAAAUUGAAAUACACUGAUGCAUUAACUUCUACUUAUUUGGAGGGGUCAAUCCCUUUUUGACUCAUACACUAACUUAACAAGUACAAGACUGCACCUAAAAAUCUUUCAAUCAUUGAAUUAAAAAUUAAGAUAGUCUGACAUCAAAGUACAGUGAGUUACUUGCAAGUCACCAUGGUGAUCUU
This 297-nucleotide long non-coding RNA is filed under the name Elaeis guineensis (African oil palm). RNAcentral describes it as "long non-coding RNA (EGUI_LNC044312)". The record is from RNAcentral. Lineage: Eukaryota; Viridiplantae; Streptophyta; Magnoliopsida; Arecales; Arecaceae.